GGCGUCAGGCAACGCGAGCGGAGCUUCCGGUUGUCAGUGGCCGGGAGGCCACUGCGUCGGGUCGUAGGUCUGAAGCCUGCCGUCGCCGGGUAGCCCUCGACCCCUCCCCGCUCCCUCUGGUGAGUUAGGGUUGGCGGCGAGGAGGGCAGCGGAAGAGCGGCGGGGCCGAGACCCGAACAGGCGGUUGGCCACCAGCCCUCAUCGUGACGCCAAGCCCCUGGUUGCCUUGAAAGCCCUGCUUCAGACCCCUUACCCUUCCCAGUCCAAAGCCCGGGGCCCUGGCCCACUCCCACGCUAGCCUGCGGCCCGCACUGCCCCUGCGGGGAUGACGUUACGCGCGAGGCGAGGUCCUCUGACGUCAGACGUAACUGUCCACCAUCUUUGUCCCUGGCAAGUGGGUUUUGUGCACUGGCUUAGACCUGGAGGAAUCGUGACGCGCGGAAACCAUUAGAGCACCUCUCGGGCUGCGCUCUCAGGCAGCUGCCGCCCCGCGUUUGCCCUCGGUGCACAUUAAAGAUCCAAAACCAUGACAGAUUCCAAGUGCUUCACAACAAAUAAGAAAGCACUAUUUACAAUAGCCAAGAAAUGGAAGCAACCUAAGUGUCCAUCAGUAGAUGAAUGGAUAAAGAAGAGGUGGUACAUAUACACAAUGGAAUAUUAUUCAGCCAUUAAGAGAAAACAAAUCCUACCAUUUGCAACAACAUGGAUGGAGCUGGAGGACAUUAUGCUCAGUGAAAAAAGCCAUGUGGAGAAAGACAAGUACCAAAUGAUUUCACUCAUAUGUGGAAUAUAAGAACAAAGGAAAAACUGAAGGAACAAAACAGCAGCAGAAUCACAGAACCCAAGAAAGGACUAACAGUUACCAAAGGGAAAGGGACUGGGGAGGCUGGGUGGGAAGGGCAAGAUAAGUAGGGGGAAGAAGAAA
Molecule: long non-coding RNA, 925 nt
Organism: Manis pentadactyla (Chinese pangolin)
Lineage: Eukaryota; Metazoa; Chordata; Mammalia; Pholidota; Manidae
Exons: 3
Source: RefSeq, a predicted model, not a curated record